AAACCAGCACCUCAAGUGGUCAGGAUGAUUAUUGGGCCUAAAGCAUCCGUAGCCUGCUUUGUAAGUUUUCGGUUAAAUCUAUAUGCUCAACAUAUAGGCUGCCGGGAAAACUGCAUCGCUAGGGAGUGGGAGAGGUAGACGGUACUCGAUAGGAAGGGGUAAAAUCCUUUGAUCUAUUGAUGACCACCAGUGGCGAAGGCGGUCUACCAGAACACGUCCGACGGUGAGGGAUGAAAGCUGGGGGAGCAAACCGGAUUAGAUACCCGUGUAGUCC
RNAcentral lists this ribosomal RNA (274 nucleotides) under uncultured bacterium. RNAcentral describes it as "partial 16S ribosomal RNA". It matches the Rfam family "Archaeal small subunit ribosomal RNA", at positions 473 to 747 of the family's 1478-position model. The record is from RNAcentral.